This is a long non-coding RNA of Xenia sp. Carnegie-2017, 619 nucleotides long. RefSeq lists it as uncharacterized. NCBI's taxonomy places the organism in Eukaryota, Metazoa, Cnidaria, Anthozoa, Malacalcyonacea, Xeniidae. The record is from RefSeq and is a predicted model, not a curated record. The transcript is spliced from 2 exons.
AAUGCAACGUCAGUAAACCGAAAGGAAAUACAUUGAACAAACGGAGACGCAGUAAGGUUGUUCAUAAGAAAAGAAUCACUUCCCUCUCGACAAGAACGAUACAUCUGUCAUUGAAAGUAAUCAAUUGAUUCUAUGAACAGAGAGCGUCACCAUGUCAGUAAAUCAAGUUUUCAUCGCCUUUUUAUUGUCCUCUAUACUGAUGUUUUCUCUUAUUCCGACUUCUGUUAAUGCGAAUGGCCUUGAGAAAUGCUUGAAGGCUUGCGACAUGGGAGAGAAAGCCAUGGAAAGAUUUUGUGGAGGUCUACCUUCACCGAAACUGAGAGCUCUGUGUUGGAGAGUGGUGUUGUUGGAACCGGUAGUUUGCAAAGGUUUUUGUUAUAAUAAUUUUCCACGACGUCAACAAAAAAAGAGUUUCAAAUCUCAUGAUUCAUUAUAAGUAAUUAACAAGUGGAAGCAAUUAUGUGAAGAAUUCUUCGAUAAUAAAACAAUUGAUUUUAUCUUUGUUCGAGACAAUUUUUUUGACCGAGUGAAUAAUGUCAUCAAUAAAUGUUAAUAUACGUAUUUUCACAGUAAAAUGACAACUUUUAUAGUAAAAAUACACAACUUUUAAACGCAAAAA